GAUGAACGCUGGCGGCGUGCCUAAUACAUGCAAGUCGAGCGAACAGACGAGGAGCUUGCUCCUCUGACGUUAGCGGCGGACGGGUGAGUAACACGUGGAUAACCUACCUAUAAGACUGGGAUAACUUCGGGAAGCCGGAGCUAAUACCGGAUAAUAUAUUGAACCGCAUGGUUCAAUAGUGAAAGACGGUUUUGCUGUCACUUAUAGAUGGAUCCGCGCCGCAUUAGCUAGUUGGUAAGGUAACGGCUUACCAAGGCGACGAUGCGUAGCCGACCUGAGGGGGUGAUCGGCCACACUGGAACUGAGACACGGUCCAGACUCCUACGGGAGGCAGCAGUAGGGAAUCUUCCGCAAUGGGCGAAAGCCUGACGGAGCAACGCCGCGUGAGUGAUGAAGGUCUUCGGAUCGUAAAACUCUGUUAUUAGGGAAGAACAAAUGUGUAAGUAACUAUGCACGUCUUGACGGUACCUAAUCAGAAAGCCACGGCUAACUACGUG
Molecule: ribosomal RNA, 497 nt
Filed under: uncultured bacterium
Lineage: Bacteria
Description: partial 16S ribosomal RNA
Rfam family: Bacterial small subunit ribosomal RNA
Source: RNAcentral